UGAGGAUUUACAUGCAAUCAGACCGACAUUGUGAUACUGUGUCUGAAUCAAUGAUGGUUUUGAGGAUUUACAUGCAAUGCAGACCGACAUUGUGAUACCGUGUCUGAAUCAAUGAUGGUUUUGAGGAUUUACAUGCAAUCCAGACCAAUAUUGGGACUCUGUGUUUGGAUCAGUGAUUCUCAGGCUUCAGUGAACAAAGCACAGGAAUCAUAAUUUUACUUUCUGACUUUCAAAAGACUUGUCCCACCUGAUGAAAAUAUACCUCCUGACUGCCCAGUUACAUUUAGCCAUUGCCUUAGAACCUAUGUUAGUUUCAUGAUCUGCCUGAUAUGUGUAACUGAUGUCAGUGAUGGGUAAAACAUAAAUAGGUAGUAGUGUACAUGAGGCAUGUGUAAUGUCAGUGAUAAAUUAUGUUGUAUAUUUACCCCUUCUACUGCCAUCAAGUGUUUUUGCUGCUUUGAGUAGGCACUGUUGAAGUCAUAGUCAAGUUGUAGAUAUAUUGUCCAUCUUGUAACACUAUGUUUAUGUGGUCAUGCUUUUUACAUGCUGCCAGUGGACUAAAUGAAGGAACUGAUCCCCAUUACCAAGCACCUGAUAAUGGUGGAAUAGAAAACCGUGUCUGCUCGAUAAUGAAGCAUACAACUUGAUGGAGAGCAACUUCUUUUUUAUUGCAUAGAGCAACGUUUCAUGUAGAUUCUUACACCAUUAUCAACUAUCAAGGUAAUCUUAGCUUGAUAAUUCAGUAAGAAUCUGCCGUGAAACAUUGUUGAUGCAAUAAAGAAGAAGUUAUCCAUUAAGUGAUAUAGUUCAUUAUUGACCCAACUUCUAGAAUUCUGAUCAAGCAACUUAUGUCCUCCCACAAGCCAUUGAUGUGUGAGUUGUUGUUCAUUGUCUGUUCCUUUUUCCAAGGGUUCUAAGAUUAGAAGGAUUACAGACACCAAACCGACACAAAAUGAAUGAUGUGAAGCACAGUUCAUUUUGUUCUAGGUGUAGCCAGCCAGUGGACAGUGCAUCAGCUCAUCAGUGCUGGCUACUGUUCUGUAAGCACUGGACAAUGUAUUCAACACAAUACUGCAGUUGUAGUUAGCUAAUGUCCAUCAUUCUGGUCUGUAUGUAGUCUUCGUAUGUCUGUAGGAUGUGCGAGCUUGGUCCGGCCACAUCUUCACAUGGAGAAAGCAUAUCACUGCUGGAUACAAGCCUUAAUGUCAUUCUGAUACACAUACACUAACUGGUCCUCUCACUGAAGGGAACAUCAUUGCCCGACUUAUUUCUCUAUCGGUGUAAGAAAAUGAAAUAUGAUACUCUUAUCCUGCUUUUUGAAACUUUCAUGCAUGCAGUAUAUCAGCAUUCAAGACUUACAUGUUCGGAUUGUAUUGGAAGAACAGAAAUAUGGCAUAUCUUUUCUGCUGAGUUUUACUCAUCUGCAAACAGCAAUACUACUGUUGAAAGUCAAGAUACAAGUAUGGGCAUUAAGGUUACCUUUCUACUAAGACUUUACAGAACAGUGUGCCAUUGUACAAAACAACCUUAGCGCUAAGACUUCCUUAAGUCUAUGUUAAGGUAUGGGAGUUACGGUCACCUUAGCGCUAAGAUUGCCUUAAGUCUAUGUUAAGGUAUGGGAGUUACGGUCACCUUAGCGCUAAGAUUGCUUUGUCCAAUGGCACCAAGUGCCCAAGACAUUUCACACAUUUUAUUUAUGUAAGUCAUAAAAUACACAGAAUAUAACAUUGAUGAACAUUUGGCUAGAUGAGUGGCUGGCGGAAGAAGAAUGUCCAGCCCCCAGUUGUCUGGACACUAUAAGCCUGCAUUACAGCAUCAUGCCCUCUGUCUAUCUGUGGCUGGUCAUAGUCUGUGUGUGUAUAUUGAUGUAUGGUACUUCUUGAUAUUAUAUGUCGUGUCCGUACACCUUUGUCACAUUUGUUGUAGAUAACAUUUUGAACAUUUUCUCCUUCUGCAGGGGUGUGUUAGGUGUUAUUAUACUGAGGGAAACAACUAGGGGAACACCACUUCAUUCUCAGAUUUCCUCACGCAGCGCUAUUGAAAGCUGGUGAUGAAAACUGGAAAAUAUUUAAGGAACACUUGAAUUUUCCUGUGUUCCUUUAUUUGUUUCUCUCAGUAUACUUAGUAUUAUGUUUUGAGAGGGUUCACUUUUAAUAAAGUCGUGUAGAAUGGGGAAUAUCAAUGGCAAGAGCGUGUGCUAGUGCCAUGGUAGGUACAGAUAUUGUCACUAUGAUGGCACACUGCUAUGUCCUUUAGGCUUGCCAAAAACCUGUUUUGGUGUGUUAGAAUCCUGUAUCACCCUUAUCAUGUCUGUCAUACCCGUGCUCAGUGGUAUCACAGAAGUGGUGAACUACAUAUCCCUUCAGCUUGUCCUCUACACGAUGAUAUUACUCAAUACAGUUUCAAGGCACAGUUAAGGCAAACUCGCUAUUCAGUGUAAAAAUUGGGUUGAAAGAACAUGUUUUCUGUGAAGUGUCUGCCAUUGUAUUUUGUAUGAGACAGAUGACAAAAAACCUGUUUGAUAACACAAAGAAACCCUCUUGCAGGUGGGCACCACAGUCUUUAGAAUAUUACAUGCAUAAUGAGCAUCUUUCCAGUUUAAGUGUAUCAUUUUAGUUAUGUACUAGAAGAAUAGAAAAUAUCAUGUUGUAUUGACACCAUUGUUUUCUUGGUGAUUUAUGUCCGCUUUCUUGAUGUAAUGUUUCUAUGUGAUAGUUCUUGAGUAAGGAGGAGGUCCACAGUGGUAAUGAAAUGUCGAGUAUUUGGAAUUUAGGAUGUGUCUGUGAGAUAUCCCUUGGUAAUAAAUAUGUUUUGCUCUAAAUCAAAAUGUCAACAUUUUCUCAGGUUAUACACUUUGUCUAUCCUUUUAAACUUAGGUAAAGAUCUUACAGAGUACAAAAACAUAUCUCCUAUGUAUUCUAAGUAGCGCUGCAUAAGACCUGUCCCUUGUGUCAUCUAAUGUGCAUACCCCCUUGUAAUACAAACCAAUAAUAGCGAUUUGAAACCAUGAUCGUUUGUUAAACAACUUUUAUUCUAAGUUGAAUAAAAUUCUGAGAUUUUAAUGUUCAACUGGCAAGGUAAAAUUAUGAGGGUUCGCAAUCUUAAUUUCGCUUUAAUCGAUUUACUUUUUUAUUUAGAGUGAAAUUCAUCGGUACAUUUUGACUGCAAACAGACUAUAAGAGGAAUGGUAACUUAUGAUGUAUGGUCCAACUUAUCCCUUAUGAUCAAUCAUAAUUCCGAGUCCUCUGAGGCAUGUUAUUGUUAGGCCCUAUGUAAGGAGUUGUACUUCCUGGCGGUAUUUUUAGACUCUGUAUUAUAAUAAAGCUUUCCAUGUUCAAACAGUUUCUGUAGAAGCAGAGUUUGAGUGACUGUGUGUUGAGAACAGGGCAAGUAUAGGCACUCAACAUAUGGCAGUAGCUAUAGAACAGGUGAUGAUUUAGUAUACUAUCUAGCUUUACAUUGCUCUGAUAACUUAGGAUGAACACAUCUACAGUUACUGGCAAUGUUUGACUGAUCAGAUGCAAAACUGCUGUUAAAGUAAUUUAUUGCGAAUAAGAACUAUGGCCUUCUUGUCAUGAACCUAGUGUUAAAAAGUAAAGAUUUAACUGGCCACUAAAUACUAUGCAGCAAUAUUAUGUACUGUAAGAAGAUAUGUUGGAAAUACCAGUUGUAACUGCUGGUAAGAUUGAUUUUCUCAUAAAACUGCAAGCUAUAUUUUGUCUUUCAGAAAUGAACAUAUUUUUUAUCAAAACAAUAUUUGCAGUGUUUCAGUUUUUUCAAUCUUCCAAAUUUUUAUCAAGACUCAUCUGUACAAGAAGAAAAUAUGUGAGUAAAAAUAAAAUGAUGUAAUAGGAGAGCCAAUGUUUUGAUUUAUAGAUGGUGUUUUAGUGACCAACUGUACUUGCAGUUUGUUUGCCCGAAACAGGAGUAGAUAACUCACAAGCAAUUUGUAACUUGUUCUGUUUUUAUUUGUAAACUGAAUAUUAUAUGUCAUUUUAGAUUAUAUAUUUUUCUGUUCUGAGAUAUUUUUAUCGAAAAAGCUUUUUUUGCCAUGUGAAGAGAAAAUAUCUGAAAUAAAUCUUUUUGAACAUUUA
Long non-coding RNA from Haliotis rubra (blacklip abalone), 4094 nucleotides. RefSeq lists it as uncharacterized. The transcript is spliced from 2 exons. The record is from RefSeq and is a predicted model, not a curated record. NCBI's taxonomy places the organism in Eukaryota, Metazoa, Mollusca, Gastropoda, Lepetellida, Haliotidae.